CCUACGGGGGGCAGCAGUGGGGAAUAUUGCGCAAUGGGCGAAAGCCUGACGCAGCGACGCCGCGUGAGGGAUGAAGGUCUUCGGAUCGUAAACCUCUGUCAGCAGGGAAGAACGGUCACUGUGCUAAUCAGCAGUGAAUUGACGGUACCUGCAAAGGAAGCACCGGCUAACUCCGUGCCAGCAGCCGCGGUAAUACGGAGGGUGCGAGCGUUAAUCGGAAUUACUGGGCGUAAAGCGCUCGUAGGCGGUAUGUCAAGUCAAGGGUGAAAUCCCCGCGCUCAACGUGGGAACUGCCUUUGAAACUGGCAAACUGGAGUGUGUGAGAGGAUGGUGGAAUUCCAGGUGUAGGAGUGAAAUGCGUAGAUAUCUGGAGGAACAUCAGUGGUGAAGGCGACUAUCUGGCACAUAACUGACGCUGAGGAGCGAAAGCGUGGGUAGCAAACAGGAUUAGAUACCCCGGUAGUC
RNAcentral lists this ribosomal RNA (465 nucleotides) under uncultured bacterium. RNAcentral describes it as "partial 16S ribosomal RNA". It matches the Rfam family "Bacterial small subunit ribosomal RNA", at positions 338 to 795 of the family's 1533-position model. The record is from RNAcentral.